CCGGCGGGCGGCCGCUCGCCGGUAACUGACACUGGUACCUGAUACGGCCGGUGCAG
Streptomyces violaceusniger Tu 4113 is the source of this 56-nucleotide non-coding RNA. The record is from Rfam. NCBI's taxonomy places the organism in Bacteria, Bacillati, Actinomycetota, Actinomycetes, Kitasatosporales, Streptomycetaceae.